AGUGUAGAUUCAGAGUUUGAUCCUGGCUCAGGAUGAACGCUGGCGGCGUGCUUAACACAUGCAAGUCGAACGGAAAGGCCUCAGCUUGCUGGGGUACUCGAGUGGCGAACGGGUGAGUAACACGUGGGUGAUCUGCCCUGCACUUUGGGAUAAGCUUGGGAAACUGGGUCUAAUACCGAAUAUGACCACUUCUUGGAUGUUGUGGUGGAAAGCUUUUGCGGUGUGGGAUGAGCCUGCGGCCUAUCAGCUUGUUGGUGGGGUAAUGGCCUACCAAGGCGGCGACGGGUAUCCGGCCUGAGAGGGUGUACGGACACAUUGGGGCUGAGAUACGGCCCAG
RNAcentral lists this ribosomal RNA (337 nucleotides) under uncultured bacterium. RNAcentral describes it as "bacterial SSU rRNA". It matches the Rfam family "Bacterial small subunit ribosomal RNA", at positions 1 to 334 of the family's 1533-position model. The record is from RNAcentral.